This 2002-nucleotide long non-coding RNA is filed under the name Daphnia magna. RNAcentral's name for it is "uncharacterized LOC116916256". Lineage: Eukaryota; Metazoa; Arthropoda; Branchiopoda; Diplostraca; Daphniidae. The record is from RNAcentral.
UCACAUUCCGGAUUGUGAUAAGUUACCAAAAUAUUCUAUCGACAUUUUCAUACGUUACAUUGUAUAGAAGGAGGCAUGUUUGAUUACAUUUUUACGUAAGAGUCGAUACGACAAACCAGGCAAUCAACAAAGUCAGAAGCUUGUUGAUCGGUUUGCAUUCAAAACAGCAUUAGUCAAGCACAAAGCAAGAGAGUGACAGCCUCCGUUUUGUUCUGUUCCAUAUUCUGUUCUCGUCUUUUACGUUUGCUUUUUUGUUUUUUCAUAUUUGAACAACCAAAGAGCCAAACAGUUAGCGCUGAUCGAUGGGACGCGUUAUUUUUCAAGUUAUUUUUCUUUAUUCUCCUUGUCACUGUAUUCUCCCGUCCGCAGUUUCUCGUGCACUCGUCCAUCGAUCCACAUCGAUUGGAGCUAAUAUGGUAUCAGGCUUCUGGUGGAUUUUAGUUAGCAGAUCUGUUGUAACACAGAGAAUUUCGUCCAAUGCCCCAAGGCACAAAAGAAGAGGAAAUAGAAGACUUAUAUUAUGAGUAACGAGAAAUUUCCUCGAAGGACAUGGAACAAAGUUUGGCUUUAAACUUGCAUAGGGUAUAGCUAUAUACUAGGCGUACAGAAUCUAUUCUUAUAUGCUGCUUCCAUUGGAUUGCAAUCUAAAGACUUUGUGCAUUAGAGCUGACAUCAAUCAAACCUGCUGUGGGUAAGCGUCACUGAGUAAUAAAUCGAAAUAUCAUGAUUUGUCAAUUAGCUUAUUGGGACUUUAUCCGUGAAUCUCCAAAACGACUGAAAGAAAUUACACAAAAGAAGUUUUAGAUCUUUAUUCCACAAGUUUUGACUCUUCUUGACACGGGUGCUGUCUCGAUAUUCAACGAGUCAAAAUAUAUUUCAAACAACGCGUGCUUUGAAAUAUUCCGUGCGAAGCUAAAGAACUUUGAUAUCCUCGAUAACAUCAAUUUGUGUAAAUCCAUACAAGAUCGAGAUGUAUCCGAUGAUGUUGAUGGUCUUUUUCAGGCGUUCUACGUCACCCGGAAUGGGCAAACGUCAACCGAACGUCCGCGCCUUUCAAGGGGAAACGAUUUCUGUGAAGUUUGGUCGAUCGAACCAGACGCAAAUGAACGGAUGUUGAUCUUCAGAGACUUUCAUUUCCGACUGCUAAUAGCUUCAGCCUUAUUUUGCAUGCAAACCAAGGUCAAAGAGGUGAUCAAUUAAUGCAUUCAUUGUCUCAUUCCUUCUGUUGUGAACAUAAUUUGGAAGUUAAGACAGGACAAUUAAAUAUGCAACAAGAAAUUGGAAACUCCUGCUAUCCAAAGUAGAUAUAACAAGUGGAAAAACAAAGUAAUCAAUUUCCUUUGGCUAUUAGAAGAUACCCAUUCCAAUUUCCUGUGGUCCAUCGGGUCGUCAAUCGAUUAAUGCAGCCGUUGAUAACCUGAAUAUAGCAUCAGUGUAAGUCAAGCUGAUAGAGAAUCGGAGAGUAGGCGCAAGAGUUUGUAAAAAUCACUUUAAAUCCCAAACAAAGGUGCGUCUCUCGCCUCUAUACGGCUUUCCUCCCGACGGAAGACAAUCGAUAACCAGUUGUUGUGAACAUAAAAGAAAAAUGCUCGCUCGUUUUUAGAUUUUGAAACUUUAGCGUUUGCAUUAUUCCUAAAAUGGCAGUCUCUUGACAAGGCUAACCGUAUACCGCGACGUACGAAAAGAAAGAGUUUAAAUCCGUAGCUUAAAAUGAUGGCAUCUAAGCUUUACAUUUCAACAGGCAUGUAUCCUUUCUUAUAUCAUUUUUUUUUCGAGGUGAAUUGGAAAUAUAGUUGGCCCCGUUACAGAAGAAAAGAAAUCCUAGAUAUGCACAGCGUCAGAACGUGUCAAUAAACGACAAGAUCUCUGUGCUAUGGAAUAUACAUAACAUCAGAUGGAGAAUGGCAUCGGCAAAAAAAAAAAAAACGUCAAUAAAAGUCAUAGUUAGUUGGAUAAAAAGAUCGUGUCCCCUUUUGACACCGGCUGCUCGAAUCACCACACU